This 478-nucleotide ribosomal RNA is filed under the name uncultured bacterium. RNAcentral's name for it is "partial 16S ribosomal RNA". It matches the Rfam family "Bacterial small subunit ribosomal RNA", at positions 28 to 523 of the family's 1533-position model. The record is from RNAcentral.
GACGAACGCUGGCGGCGUGCUUAACACAUGCAAGUCGAACGGUAAGGCCCUUCGGGGUACACGAGUGGCGAACGGGUGAGUAACACGUGGGUGACCUGCCCUGCACUUCGGGAUAAGCCUGGGAAACUGGGUCUAAUACCGGAUAGGACCACUGCCUGCAUGGGUGGUGGUAGAAAGCUUUUGCGGUGUGGGAUGGGCCCGCGGCCUACCAGCUUGUUGGUGGGGUGAUGGCCUACCAAGGCGACGACGGGUAGCCGGCCUGAGGGGGUGACCGGCCACACUGGGACUGAGAUACGGCCCAGACUCCUACGGGAGGCAGCAGUGGGGAAUAUUGCACAAUGGGCGCAAGCCUGAUGCAGCGACGCCGCGUGAGGGAUGACGGCCUUCGGGUUGUAAACCUCUUUCAGCACCGACGAAGCGCAAGUGACGGUAGGUGCAGAAGAAGGACCGGCCAACUACGUGCCAGCAGCCGCCGUAA